CCUACGGGCGGCUGCAGUGGGGAAUAUUGCACAAUGGGCGCAAGCCUGAUGCAGCCAUGCCGCGUGUGUGAAGAAGGCCUUCGGGUUGUAAAGCACUUUCAGCGGGGAGGAAGGCGGUGAGGUUAAUAACCUCAUCGAUUGACGUUACCCGCAGGAGAAGCACCGGCUAACUCCGUGCCAGCAGCCGCGGUAAUACGGAGGGUGCAAGCGUUAAUCGGAAUUACUGGGCGUAAAGCGCACGCAGGCGGUCUGUCAAGUCGGAUGUGAAAUCCCCGGGCUCAACCUGGGAACUGCAUUCGAAACUGGCAGGCUAGAGUCUUGUAGAGGGGGGUAGAAUUCCAGGUGUAGCGGUGAAAUGCGUAGAGAUCUGGAGGAAUACCGGUGGCGAAGGCGGCCCCCUGGACAAAGACUGACGCUCAGGUGCGAAAGCGUGGGGAGCAAACAGGAUUAGAUACCCCAGUAGUC
RNAcentral lists this ribosomal RNA (465 nucleotides) under uncultured Klebsiella sp. Its description in RNAcentral is "bacterial SSU rRNA". It matches the Rfam family "Bacterial small subunit ribosomal RNA", at positions 338 to 795 of the family's 1533-position model. The record is from RNAcentral. Lineage: Bacteria; Pseudomonadati; Pseudomonadota; Gammaproteobacteria; Enterobacterales; Enterobacteriaceae.